CAAUAGUCAUCUAAAAUACCAUAGACAGCAACGGAUUAUUUAUAAUCUUAAUAAUGUUGCCGAGGCAUUAUGACAUGUAAUUAAAUAUUUAUUUAUAUGUUU
Spiroplasma mirum ATCC 29335 is the source of this 102-nucleotide regulatory RNA element. It matches the Rfam family "Ribosomal protein L10 leader". Rfam says of the family: This family is a putative r-protein leader autoregulatory structure found in B. subtilis and other low-GC Gram-positive bacteria. It is located in the 5' untranslated regions of mRNAs encoding ribosomal proteins L10 and L12 (rplJ-rplL). The record is from Rfam. NCBI's taxonomy places the organism in Bacteria, Bacillati, Mycoplasmatota, Mollicutes, Entomoplasmatales, Spiroplasmataceae.